This 72-nucleotide transfer RNA is filed under the name Bos taurus (domestic cattle). It matches the Rfam family "tRNA". Rfam says of the family: Transfer RNA (tRNA) molecules are approximately 80 nucleotides in length. Their secondary structure includes four short double-helical elements and three loops (D, anti-codon, and T loops). Further hydrogen bonds mediate the characteristic L-shaped molecular structure. tRNAs have two regions of fundamental functional importance: the anti-codon, which is responsible for specific mRNA codon recognition, and the 3' end, to which the tRNAs corresponding amino acid is attached (by aminoacyl-tRNA synthetases). tRNAs cope with the degeneracy of the genetic code in two manners: having more than one tRNA (with a specific anti-codon) for a particular amino acid; and 'wobble' base-pairing, i.e. permitting non-standard base-pairing at the 3rd anti-codon position. Lineage: Eukaryota; Metazoa; Chordata; Mammalia; Artiodactyla; Bovidae. RNAcentral also lists the same sequence under 5 other names. The record is from Rfam by way of RNAcentral.
CCCCUUGUAGCUCAGUCGGUAAAGAAUCUGCCUGCAAUGCAGGAGACCCAGGUUCGAUCCCUGGAUUGGGAA